Molecule: small nucleolar RNA, 74 nt
Organism: Paramormyrops kingsleyae
Lineage: Eukaryota; Metazoa; Chordata; Actinopteri; Osteoglossiformes; Mormyridae
Product: small nucleolar RNA SNORD50
Source: RefSeq, a predicted model, not a curated record
AUACUAUGAUGAACACUUUAUCCCAAACCUGAAUUUUUUUGAUGAAACAAAAUUACGGAUCUGACUACUGAGUU